CUGCAGCCGCGGGAAUACGGAGGGUGCAAGCGUUAAUCGGAAUUACUGGGCGUAAAGCGCACGCAGGCGGUCUGACAAGUCAGAUGUGAAAUCCCCGGGCUUAACCUGGGAACUGCAUUUGAAACUGUCAGGCUGGAGUCUUGUAGAGGGGGGUGGAAUUCCAGGUGUAGCGGUGAAAUGCGUAGAGAUCUGGAGGAAUACCGGUGGCGAAGGCGGCCCCCUGGACAAAGACUGACGCUCAGGUGCGAAAGCGUGGGGAGCAAACAGGAUUAGAGACCCGUGUAGUCCCUGUCUCUUAUAC
This 301-nucleotide ribosomal RNA is filed under the name uncultured bacterium. Its description in RNAcentral is "partial 16S ribosomal RNA". It matches the Rfam family "Bacterial small subunit ribosomal RNA", at positions 509 to 807 of the family's 1533-position model. The record is from RNAcentral.